GUGAUAGACACAGUACCUGGACCGGGCAGAGGAGUGGAAUCCAAAGAUAAAGUUAGGAGAACGUACUUCAAGGGGAAAUUUGUCCUUUCACUUGUGGUAUCAUAGUCUUUCAUGGAUCCCAUGCUGUUGUCUGUUUAUUUCUCCUUAAACAAGGAAAAAUAUACCCAGACCCAGUUUUCAUCAACAGACCAGCCCAUGGCAACCAUCACUCUACUUUCUGUCUCUAUGAAUUUGAAUACUCUGGGUAACCUCAUUCUGGGAUGAUAUGAAACCUUGCAGACGACAUGCAUGGAUCAACUCAUGAGACAGUAAAUCACUCAAAAUCUUACUACAAAAGACAACGUCCUUAUUUGCUUUUACAGAAAAAGACCACUACGGGCAACUCUCCAUCUAUCCCUCCUGAUUCCUUUAUGGACAACUCUCCAUCUAUUCCACCUGAUUCCUCUAUGGACAACUCUCCAUCUAUUCCGCCUGAUUCCUCCAUGGGCAACUGUCCAUGUAUUCCACCUGACUCCCAGCUAGGCUGCAUCCUCCACCAUUGGAAUCAAUUUGACCCUGACAACCUAAAAAGAAAACUGUGAUGAUUAAUACUGAGUGUCAACUUGAUUGGAUAGAAGGAUGCAAAGUAUUGAUCCUGGAUGUGUCUGUGAGGGUAUUGCCAAAGGAGAUUAACAUUUGAGUCAGUGGGCUGGGAAAGGCAGACCCACUCUUAAUCUGGGUGGGCACCAUCUAAUUAGCUGCCAGCAUGGCUAGAAUAUAAAGCAGGCAGAAAAACAUGAAAAAACUAGAUUGGCCUAGCCUCCCGGCAUACAUCUUUCUCCUGUGCUGGAUGAUUCCUGCCUUUGAACAUCGGACUCCAAGUUCUUCAGUUUUGGGACUCACACUGGCUUUCCUUGUUCUUCAGCUUGCAGACAGUCUAUUGUGGGAUGUGGUGAUCGUGUGAGUUAAUACUACUUAAUAAACUCAUACGUAUAAUAUAU
This 980-nucleotide long non-coding RNA is filed under the name Homo sapiens (human). Its description in RNAcentral is "HSALNT0313114". Lineage: Eukaryota; Metazoa; Chordata; Mammalia; Primates; Hominidae. The record is from RNAcentral.